This 760-nucleotide long non-coding RNA is filed under the name Olea europaea subsp. europaea. Lineage: Eukaryota; Viridiplantae; Streptophyta; Magnoliopsida; Lamiales; Oleaceae. The record is from RNAcentral.
CUGCCUUGAAGCAUUGUAAUGUUAAUAUUAUAUUAUUGUUUGUAUUUUUCUGUCGCCUUGCAAUGGUGAGUAUUGUUUAUUCAUUUUUUUAUGUGAUUUUCUAAAAUUUUGACAUAGAAUGCUAAUCAUGAUUUUUAUAUUUUCUUAAAUAGGCUCGAUAUCAUGGUGAAUAUCAAAAAGAAGGUUGUUGAUGAUUCCAAAGCUCCACGUAAAAAGAGAUUAGUACGAAAAAACUACACGCGGACAACUUAAAGUAGCCAACACAUUUCAACAACAUUUUAACUCUCUGGAUGCUCCUACUAGGUCUUUCUACAGCAUGAAUAUGCGUAAGGAUCUCAUGAAAAAUUAUUAUUCACUUGUUGAUUUACCAAAAAACUGUGCAAUGAGAUCCAUCACUAACACAUUUAUAGAUGAGGCAUCACAUGAGGUUACCCCAGAAGAUGAUGUAGACAUGAGUGGUAAUGAAAGCCAAAGAACACAUGUGGAAGAUACGAGUCUAUUGCAACAAAAUGUUAUACAUUCUGAAGGAGAGAUUCAACAAGUCCAAAAGAAGAAGAGAGACCCUACCCAAAUGAAGAAUUUGAAUGAAGUCAUUGCUUCAAUUGAAGUAAAGUUUAAUGAAAUGGGACAUUCGCUAUCUGUCACUUUAUCUCUUUUUCUGGGCCGUCUUGUAAGGGAGACUGUACUGUAUACUCUUGUUGACUGGUAAUACCUUUCAGAUGAUAUGAAACUUGUUAUGUGGAAAGAUAUUCAGGUACAU